Molecule: ribosomal RNA, 2029 nt
Filed under: human oral metagenome
Description: bacterial LSU rRNA
Rfam family: Bacterial large subunit ribosomal RNA
Source: RNAcentral
AUGGGGGGACCAUCCUCCAAGGCUAAAUACUCGUUGUCGACCGAUAGUGAACCAGUACCGUGAGGGAAAGGCGAAAAGAACCCUGGUGAAGGGAGUGAAAUAGAACCUGAAACCGUGUGCAUACAAGCAGUCAGAGCCGGUGAAGACCGGUGAUGGCGUACCUUUUGUAUAAUGGGUCAGCGAGUUACAUUUAGUGGCGAGGUUAACCGGAUAGGGGAGCCGUAGCGAAAGCGAGUCUUAAUAGGGCGAAUAGUCGCUGGAUGUAGACCCGAAACCGGGCGAUCUAUCCAUGGGCAGGUUGAAGGUUGAGUAACAUCAACUGGAGGACCGAACCCACGCAUGUUGAAAAAUGCGGGGAUGACCUGUGGAUAGGAGUGAAAGGCUAAACAAGCUCGGAGAUAGCUGGUUCUCCCCGAAAACUAUUGAGGUAGUGCCUUGUAGAUUGACUUACGGGGGUAGAGCACUGUUUCGGCUAGGGGGUCAUACCGACUUACCAACCCGAUGCAAACUCCGAAUACCGUGAAGUAUUACUACAGGAGACACACGGCGGGUGCUAACGUCCGUCGUGAAAAGGGAAACAACCCAGACCGCCAGCUAAGGUCCCUAAAUGACAGUUAAGUGGGAAACGAAGUGGGAAGGCUUAGACAGCUAGGAGGUUGGCUUAGAAGCAGCCAUCCUUUAAAGAAAGCGUAAUAGCUCACUAGUCGAGUCGUCCUGCGCGGAAGAUUUACCGGGGCUAAACUGUCUACCGAAGCUGCGGAUUUGCAUGCAAAUGCAAGUGGUAGGGGAGCGUUGUGUAAGCUGAUGAAGGUGUGUUGAGAAGCAUGCUGGAGGUAUCACAAGUGCGAAUGCUGACAUGAGUAACGAUAAUGCGGGUGAAAAACCCGCACACCGAAAACCCAAGGUUUCCUGCGCAACGCUAAUCGGCGCAGGGUGAGUCGGCCCCUAAGGCGAGGCGGAAACGCGUAGUCGAUGGGAAACAGGUUAAUAUUCCUGUACUGAUCAUAAUUGCGAUGGGGGGACGGAGAAAGCUAGGCCAGCACACUGUUGGAUGUGUGUUUAAGCGCGUAGGUUGAAGACUUAGGCAAAUCCGGGUCUUUAAGACUGAAACGUGAUGACGAGUUUCUACGGAAACGAAGUGGUUGAUGCUCUGCUUCCAGGAAAAGCCUCUAAGCUUCAGAUUAUGACCAACCGUACCCCAAACCGACACAGGUGGGUAGGAAGAGAAUUCCAAGGUGCUUGAGAGAACUCGGGUAAAGGAACUCGGCAAAAUGAUACCGUAACUUCGGGAGAAGGUAUGCCUCUGAUGGUGAAUAGCUGUUGGAGGCCGCAGAGAAUAGGCCGCUGCGACUGUUUAACAAAAACACAGCACUCUGCAAACACGAAAGUGGACGUAUAGGGUGUGACGCCUGCCCGGUGCCGGAAGGUUAAGUGAUGGGGUGCAAGCUCUUGAUCGAAGCCCCGGUAAACGGCGGCCGUAACUAUAACGGUCCUAAGGUAGCGAAAUUCCUUGUCGGGUAAGUUCCGACCUGCACGAAUGGCGUAACGAUGGCGGCGCUGUCUCUACCCGAGACUCAGUGAAGUUGAAAUCGCUGUGAAGAUGCAGUGUACCCGCGGCAAGACGGAAAGACCCCGUGAACCUUCACUAUAGCUUGACACUGAACAUUGAAACAAGUUGCAUAGGAUAGGUGGGAGGCUAAGAAACAGAGACUCAGGUUUCUGUGGAGCCAACCUUGAAAUACCACCCUGCUUGUUUUGAUGUUCUAACGUAGACCCGUAAUCCGGGUUGCAGACAGUGUCUGGUGGGUAGUUUGACUGGGGCGGUCUCCUCCCAAAGAGUAACGGAGGAGCACGAAGGUUUGCUAAUCACGGUCGGACAUCGUGAGGUUAGUGCAAUGGUAUAAGCAAGCUUAACUGCGAGACAGACAAGUCGAGCAGGUACGAAAGUAGGUCAUAGUGAUCCGGUGGUUCUGAAUGGAAGGGCCAUCGCUCAACGGAUAAAAGGUACUCCGGGGAUAACAGGCUGAUU